GGCUAGUGUGAAGGUAGUGAGUUAUUUCAACUGAUUGUUCCCAGUAAGUUACAGAUUGAACUCCUUGUUCUACUUCCCCCUCUCACUAUUGCACUUGACUAGUCGAAA
This 108-nucleotide Y RNA is filed under the name Prolemur simus (greater bamboo lemur). Its description in RNAcentral is "Y RNA (ENSPSMG00000012782.1)". It matches the Rfam family "Y RNA". Rfam says of the family: Y RNAs are components of the Ro ribonucleoprotein particle (Ro RNP), in association with Ro60 and La proteins. The Y RNAs and Ro60 and La proteins are well conserved, but the function of the Ro RNP is not known. In humans the RNA component can be one of four small RNAs -- hY1, hY3, hY4 and hY5. Lineage: Eukaryota; Metazoa; Chordata; Mammalia; Primates; Lemuridae. The record is from Rfam by way of RNAcentral.